Pelobates cultripes (western spadefoot toad) is the source of this 477-nucleotide non-coding RNA. The record is from the annotation of a GenBank genome assembly. NCBI's taxonomy places the organism in Eukaryota, Metazoa, Chordata, Amphibia, Anura, Pelobatidae.
AGCAGGGCCACACUGAUAUGGCGCAAAAGUAUGCAACCAAUCACCAAACAACUCCAAGCCGCAGGAGUCGCCUAUAGAUGGGCAACACCAGGAACUCUCUGGAUCACUAAAGAUGACAAGCACUACAGGGCCACCGACCACACAGAGGGCCCAGCACUGAUGACCGCAUUGGGAAUAUCGAACCUCGCAGCGACCUCAGCAACACAGCCAGAUCAUCGACCAGAGACAACGAGCACAGAUUCAUCCGCAACCCCUGGAACAAGCAGAGGCCCGAAAACCAAAACCUGAACUAACUGCCUCACCGACGGCCUCAUAGGCCUUAGUUUAAUUAGUUUAAAUAUUUUACGUUAAUAAGACUGUUCAUCUAAGUUAUAUGUAGUUCUCCCACACUCUGACGGCCAUUACAGUGCUAAAAAGGCCCACCAGAGCCAAGCACACCAGCUCCGAUAACAAUCCCCCCCCACCCCCCUCCCUGGG